RNAcentral lists this ribosomal RNA (440 nucleotides) under uncultured bacterium. RNAcentral's name for it is "partial 16S ribosomal RNA". It matches the Rfam family "Bacterial small subunit ribosomal RNA", at positions 338 to 795 of the family's 1533-position model. The record is from RNAcentral.
CCUACGGGAGGCAGCAGUAGGGAAUAUUGCGCAAUGGGCGAAAGCCUGAUGCAGCAACGCCGCGUGAACGAGACGCCCUUUGGGGUUUUAAGCUCUGUCAGUGGGUACGAAAAAUGACGGUAUCCACAGUGGAAGCACCGGCUAACUCCGUGCCAGCAGCCGCGGUAAUACGGAGGGUGCAAGCGUUGUCCGGAAUCAUUGGGCGUAACGAGUGCAUAGGCGGUAUGUAGCGUCAGGUGUGAAAGGCGCGGGCUCAACCGGUGCAUGUCACUUGAGACUUGCAGGCUGGAAUGCGGUAGAGGUAAAGGGAAGUCCUGGUGUAGCGGUGGAAUGCGGAGAUAUCAGGAGGAACAUCGGUGGCGAAAGCGCGUUACUGGGCCGUUACUGACGCUGAGGAACGAAAGCGAGGGGAGCGAAUAGGAUUAGAUACCCUUGUAGUC